ACUAGACUAGACAGCAUAAUCGUUUUUCCAUAUCGCUUACUUCAACUAUCAGCGGCGUGAGCGGAGCGAAAUCUGAACGUAGGAUGACGUCGCCACCCCAUAAUAUAAGGCGGACAUCCGUGUAAAGAUUGUCUAAAUUGAAACCAGUCUCUGGCAAGUAUUUUCCUCCCAUCCGGAGAGCAUACGCGGUGUACUCGUCUCUGGCCGUCGAGAAGAUCGACCUCCGUGAAAGACUUGUCCGCAGCCUUGUCCAAAGUCCUGCACUCUGAACCGGCAAAGCAGUGCCAGUAUAUUCGAAAACGUAGAUCUCUUCGUCUCGGUUCCGCGUCCAUAUCACUGGUAUCGACUGAAUAACUCUUGACCAUGGCAACAAACAACCGUCAUGCCUAUAAAAACAAUUUAUCAAUCAUUUCUAGUACCACAUAAUUACCAUAAUAAUAAAAAUAUAACACUGUUUAUUUUCUAUAUUUAUUUACUACUCCGAUCAACAGUUAGUUAUAUAAUAUUAACAACUCUUUUGGUACUUUUCAUUGUUGAUUUACAAAUACUUCGUGAUUAGCGUACAACAAUGUUCCAGAUAUCUCGACCGGAAGUAUAUGAGAUUUUCGACCAUCGGCAAGAGAACCCACCUAAGACCAGGAAAUACGACGAAUGUAGGUUGAAUUUCGGAUAUUUUCUUCGCAAUUUGCUCGUCCUUCAAGAAAGCCUCGCAAAUCUGAAUCGCUUUGCUCUCAGGAUACGCGGACUUCGUUAUUUCGACAGUCAGCAAUACCAGUUCCACUCCGAUUAAAUUUUCGUGGAGAUCAUUUUGAUAUUGCUCCGGUAUGAUCAGUGUCGCGUCGAUUCCUUCAUCCGACAAAGUAUUGGCUAAUAAUGACAAAUCAUAGACAUCCUCGAAUGCAACGACCACUACCGAUUGCGGAGGUUCAGUCAAGGUCGAACCAUGAAUUGUACGUAUUAAACAAAGCCACGCGCAGAAUUCGACAAGCGCGAACAUUAUGAGCGGACGAUGGUAAUAAAUCGGUAAAAAUAAAA
Megalopta genalis is the source of this 1035-nucleotide long non-coding RNA. RefSeq lists it as uncharacterized. The record is from RefSeq and is a predicted model, not a curated record. NCBI's taxonomy places the organism in Eukaryota, Metazoa, Arthropoda, Insecta, Hymenoptera, Halictidae.